UACGUAGGUGGCAAGCGUUAUCCGGAAUUAUUGGGCGUAAAGCGCGCGCAGGCGGUCGUUCAAGUCGCGUGUGAAAGCCCCCGGCUCAACUGGGGAGGGUCACGCGAUACUGAUCGACUCGAAGGCAGGAGAGGGUAGUGGAAUUCCCGGUGUAGUGGUGAAAUGCGUAGAUAUCGGGAGGAACACCAGUGGCGAAGGCGACUACCUGGCCUGUUCUUGACGCUGAGGCGCGAAAGCUAGGGGAGCAAACGGG
Molecule: ribosomal RNA, 253 nt
Filed under: uncultured bacterium
Lineage: Bacteria
Description: partial 16S ribosomal RNA
Rfam family: Bacterial small subunit ribosomal RNA
Source: RNAcentral